RNAcentral lists this ribosomal RNA (456 nucleotides) under uncultured Geobacillus sp. Its description in RNAcentral is "bacterial SSU rRNA". It matches the Rfam family "Bacterial small subunit ribosomal RNA", at positions 924 to 1382 of the family's 1533-position model. The record is from RNAcentral. Lineage: Bacteria; Bacillati; Bacillota; Bacilli; Caryophanales; Anoxybacillaceae.
CACAAGCGGUGGAGCAUGUGGUUAAUUCGAAGCAACGCGAAGAACCUUACAGGUCUUGACAUCCCUGACAACCAAGAGAUUGGGCGUUCCCCUUCGGGGGACAGGGUGACAGGUGGUGCAUGGGUUGUCGUCAGCUCGUGUCGUGAGAUGUUGGGUUAAGUCCCGCAACGAGCGCAACCCUCGCCUCUAGUUGCCAGCAUUCGGUUGGGCACUCUAGAGGGACUGCCGGCGACAAGUCGGAGGAAGGUGGGGAUGACGUCAAAUCAUCAUGCCCCUUAUGACCUGGGCUACACACGUGCUACAAUGGGCGGUACAAAGGGCUGCGAACCCGCGAGGGGGAGCGAAUCCCAAAAAGCCGCUCUCAGUUCGGAUUGCAGGCUGCAACUCGCCUGCAUGAAGCCGGAAUCGCUAGUAAUCGCGGAUCAGCAUGCCGCGGUGAAUACGUUCCCGGGCCUU